AAAGUAAAAAGCUUCUCAGCAAAAGAAAAAAUCAAUGAGGUGAAGAGAGAACCUGUGGAAAGUGAGCAAAUCUUUACCACAUGCACAUCAAAUAGAGCACUACUCUCCAGAAUAUAUACAGAACUCAAAAAACUUAACACCAAAACAACAACAACAACAACAAAUAACCCAAUCAAUAAAUGGGCUAAGGAAUGAAUAGACAGUUCUCAAAAGAAGAUACACAAUCGAUGAACAAAUAUACCAAAAAAAAAAAAUGUUCAACAUCCCUAGUAAUUAGAGAAAUGUAAAUCAAAACUACUCUUUAAGAUUUUAUCUCACUCCAAUCAAAAUGGCAGUUAUCAAGAAUACAGGCAACAAUAAGUGUUGCCGAGUGUUUGGGGGAAAAGGCACACUCUUUUAUUGUUGAUGAGACUGCAAAUUGGUGCAACUAAUAUGGAAAGCAGUAUGGAGAUUCCUUAGAAAACUUGGAUUGGAACUGCCAUUUGACCCAGCUAAUUCACUCUGUGGUUUAUAUACAAAGGACUUAAAAACAGCAUUUUACAGCCUCAUCAAUGUUUAUAGCAGCACAAUUCAUAAUAGUUAAAACUAUGAAACCAACAUAGAUGCCCUUCAUUAGAUGAAUGGAUAAAGAAACUGUGGCAUAUAUACACAAUGGACUAUUACUCAGCAUUAAAAGACAAUAAAAUCAUGGUAUUUGCAGGUAAAUAGAUGGAGUUGGAAAAUGUCAUGAUAAGAGAAAUAAGACAAUCCCAAAAAACCAAAGGUCAAGUGUUUUCUCUGAUAAGUGGAUGCUGAUCAAU
RNAcentral lists this long non-coding RNA (800 nucleotides) under Marmota monax (woodchuck). Lineage: Eukaryota; Metazoa; Chordata; Mammalia; Rodentia; Sciuridae. The record is from RNAcentral.